GUUUCCAACUGCACAUUGCAAAGUGAUGGAAAUGGACGCCUGAACACCCGAGUUCUGCACUCCUCCGGGUGUUCACCCUCAGCAGGCUCCUCAAAAAUGCAACUGUAGCGGAUAUAACCUCUCAUUUAGGGGUUGUUAUAAACCUUUCUCCAGUCUCAGGCCACAGAUGGUCUACUGAGUUCCACCGAGAAGAAAAAUUUCUGCAGCGCUUGCUCUCCUGGCCCUCAGGUGAAUGAACAUGGUCCAGUAGGCUCACACCACCCUGCUGACCUUGGGCCUUCAUUGCGAGCCACGUGACGCAUGUUUAGGGUGCCUAAGACAUGUAAUGCCUCAGCUUGGGCUAAGGCGGGAGCCUCUCUGCAGGUCUCCAGUGUGCUGCCCAGGAAUGCUCAUCACCAUCUCAGAAUCCAAAGUGGACAUAUUUAUAGUGUCUCCUGACUUUGAAAGGAGUUAAGAGCAGAGAGCAGAAAAUAGUUGGUCUGAAUGGGAAAUGAAAAUCAAAUAUUCUCUUAUUCUAAAGGGCACUGUGAACAAGAAUUAAUAAUGUAAGAUGCAAGACAUGCUAUAUAGCACUCUGAAAAAAUAUGAUGCCUACGUAUUUAGUUUAAGGCAAAAUGGCCUCGAACCCAGCCCCGGAGAGACAGCAGUGAACAGAACAGCAACCCCAGCCCCAGGGAGUUUACCUUCUCUGAAGGGAGACAGGAAAUAACAGAUAAGAUGUUGUCUUGCGCCCAGGGCAGCUGUGAGUGUGUGAACGCCUCAUCAGCGAUUGCAGACACUGCCCAAAUGGAUCUCCAGAGACUCUGCUUCUGUGAGGCCACCUAAACUAUGAUCCCAUAAAAUUAAAAUGAUGAGAUGGAAAACCACAGAAAGCACCACACACCUGGCAGCUGAGCGGAACUUUGUGUUGCCAAAGGGGCCCAGGCCUGGGCUUCUGCCAUGUGAUUCCCUGCCCACCUUCUACCCAGAGGGGACUGCUAAUUUUUAAAAAUAGGUUUAAUACAGUCGUACACUCUAAUGUACUCUGUACUAUCUUCUUCCUGUGGGUGCACUUUUCAACUGUUACAAGAAGUUCAGUCCCUUGUGAAGCAUGAGUUUGUAAAGAUUUAUAUCAGUUUUGUUGUCUCUGUUAAUUUUAACCAAGUGGUGUAUCCUGAUAUAUGAUAUGAAUUUAGAGUUAGUAGAUCUCAUUUCUGGAGAAGGAAAUGGCAACCCACUCCAGUGUUCUUGCCUGGAGAAUCCCAGGGAUGGGGGAGCCUGGUGGGCUGCCGUCUAUGGGGUCGCACAGAGUCAGACACGACUGAAGUGACUUAGCAGCAGCAGCAGCAGCAGAUCUCGUUUCAACACUCUAGAGUUUGGAAAGUGUCCCAGAAGCCAGUAAGAAACCAAGCUUCUGCAGAACUGUGGGCAGGUGCUUUCACCUCUGUUUUCUCAUCUGUCACCAGGGCACUACUAUGGCCAUACAAGUCUGUAUACAAGUGUCAUACAAUUUCAAGGAGACUGUUCACAUCGUAACUGAACAACAAAGCGGUCUGUCUGUAACAGGAAGAUAGGAUGCAUCAUCUCAGUCACUCAGUAGUGUCUGACUCUUUGUGACCCCAUGGACUGUAUCCAACCAGGCUCCUCUGUCCAUGGGAUUCUUCAGGCAAGAAUACUGGACUGGGUUGCCAUCGGGCAUCUGUAUUAUGCAUAACCUGGAUCUGUCCAAUGGCAGAGAUGCUUGCUCAACCAUGAAGAUCAAAUUUUCUCCUCCUGGUGCCAGCCCUGCCACUCCUUAAAAGAUUGCAGCCCACCAGGCUCCUCUGUCCAUGGGAUUCUCCAGGCAAGAAUACUGGAAUGGUUGCCAUGCCCUCCUCCAGGAGGUAUUCCUGACCCAGGGAUCAGACCCACGUCUCAUAUCUCCUGCAUUGGCAGGGCAAGAACCUUGACUCUUUAUGGACAUGUCCUAAAUGCCUAGCACAAUGGCUCAUCUAUAACAGACUGUUGAGUCGGGAUAUACUCUGUGACUCUUUUAACCGAAACAGAAUAGCAGAAGUGAGUUGUGCCAGUUUCUGAGACAAGGCUGUAAAAGACUGGCCGCUUUUACACCCUGUCUCUUGGAGCGUAUCUUGAAUCUUCACCUCAGGGAGGAGUUAGCUGCUGUGCGUGAAGCCUGACUAUACUGACACAGCCAUGGGUGAAGACUACGUGCUAAGUCUUUGCUGGCCCAGCCAUCCCAACCUGGGCACCAAGACCAGUAGUCAAGGAGCCAUGUUAGGCCUCCUAAUCCCAGCAAACAUGCCAAGAAGAAAAAUGAAGAUCCCAGACAUACGGCCUCAGUCUAGCCAUCCCAGCAGCUCCCAGCUAUUCAAGCAACCCCAGCUGUGGCCACAAACGUCAUGUAUCAGACUCUCAAGCUGUCCCUGCUGUGCUGGCUCUAAUCCCUGACCCACAGAAUCAUAGGCAUCAUGGACAUAGUAAGAGUUUCACAGGUUUCCCUGGUGACUCAGUUGGUAGAGUCUGCCUGCAGCGCGGGAGACCUGGCUUCAAUCACUGGGUCGGGAAGAUCCCCUGGAGAAGGAAAUGGCAACCCACUCCAGCAUUCUUGUCUGGAGAAUUCCCCAUACAGAGGAGUCUGGUGGGCUAUAGUUCAUGGGGUCACAAAGAGUCAGACACAAGUGAGUGACAAAUGCUUUUAUUUAGUAAAAUUAAAAAUAUAAACAUAGACAACAUAUAAACUUAAAAGAUAUAUCAAAUAGUUUUUUAAAUAAUAUUCAAUUUGUUUUAAUGUCUAUGUGAUUAAGACUAUAAGGUCAUUGAAUGUUUGACUUAGGAGAAAUCAUAUUAUGGAUUAGUAGUAGUAGUGUUGGUAUUGUUUUUAAGAUGAGUGACUUUCCCACCAGAACAGAUUUGAAGCAUGCAGUAUAUUCACUCAUAUGUUCCCAGAUCCCAGUCCUUUCACUAGACCACAGUAGGUGUUUAACAAAUGUUUACUAAAAUAAGAAAUGAAGUAUGAGAUAAAUACUUAAGUAGAAAACUCUCCUUUUGUUUUAAUAUCUUUAUCUUGGACAUCCUAAAACAUGUUGCAAAGAGUUGCAGUGCACCAGCAGAGUGCAUCUGAGGUAUUCAAUAUUAAACCAAAAAUUCAGAUAUAUAAUAACAGUGGACACUGAUGAAUGCCUCCUAAAUGCCAGACAUUAGAGUUGAUGCAUUCCUUCCUACUAACUGACAUUCUUUUUAUUCUCAAUUUUACACACAAGAACAACAGUGAGGCUCAGAAAAAUAAUAUACCUGAUAUUGUAAAAAGUUUUCAUGUGACUUCAGCACCUAAGUGCCUAAUACUGCUUCAUUCUUAGACUGUUUUACACAAUAACAUUAUUUACUAAACAAAUUAAUAUAAAAUGUCAAUAAAUUAACUUUAUUUUCUAAAUAAAAUAACACAAUUUGACCACAUUGACCAUGAAGAAUAGGACCUAAAGAACACAAAAGUAAGAAAAGUCAGUAAUCUUUAUUCUGCCCAUUUCUUCUUUAUUGUGGGCCACAUUUGUAUGAUGGUUAUUAUACCUGCCUGUUAUAAAAGACUAAUCAGUGGUUAAAACCAAAUUAAAGAUUCUCAUACAAAGAAUUUUCAGAGAAAUCAACUUCUGAUCCAAAAAAAACUUCCUUUAACCAAAUCUUAAACCUCAUUCCAUCAUUGUUUUCUACUCUAUAAUUUUAAGGAUUCAGAAGAUAUGAUAGUAUAUUCCAAAGACUUCAGGUAGCAAAUGAAAGAGGUGAAAAAUUAAAACUAGAGGGGAAAUUUUAAAAAAAAUUUUUAAUAUUAAUAGUAGUGAGCACAUUCAGAUUUAUGCCUGAUUUUAUAUAUAUAUAUAGAGAGAGAGAGAUAGAUUUAUAAAAUAUUUGUAUGCUUGCUAUAUUAAUUUAGUAUACAUACAUAAAUUUCUGUAUUAAUUAUAUAUAUAUAACUUGUAAAUAUAGUUUUGAUAACAAAAUUGGUAUACAGGUCAAUAAGAAAUUAGGGAGGAAGCAUGCUUUAUGAGGAAGCAUGCUUUUUGGAGUAGAAUGUGGCAACCCACUCCAAUAUUCUUGCCUGGACAGAGGACCCUGGUGGGCUACAGUCUGUGGGGCCGCAAAGAGUUGGACAUGACUAAGUAACAGAGCACAUGCUUUACAAACGGCUAGUUUUAAUGAGUCUUCUUGAUCUAAACAGAAAAGUAUCAAAACUCUUCAUUUUCUCAUUACAUAUGUUUAUUCUGUGUUUUAACUUAUGGCAGAAAUGUUUCAUAGGAACUAUUCACUUUCUAUUACUGUGACUGUAUUUUUUAAAUUAAUUGUACUGGUUCUUUGCCCACUAAACAUUAAUAAGCAUGAAGAAUCAUUAUGUUCUAUAUAAGAAUGUUGAAAAAUGUAGAUUUUCUCAAGAGAGAUGAAUAACAACUUUCACUAUAGUCUUGAAAAUAAAACAAAAGCCAGGACAUGGAAGCAACCUAGAUGUCCAUCAGCAGAUGAAUGGAUAAGAAAGCUGUGGUACAUAUACACAAUGGAGUAUUACUCAGCCAUUAAAAAGAAUACAUUUGAAUCAGUUCUAAUGAGGUGGAUGAAACUGGAGCCUAUUAUACAGAGUGAAGUAAGCCAGAAGGAAAAACACCAAUACAGUAUACUAACACAUAUAUAUGGAAUUUAGAAAGAUGGUAACGAUAACCCUGUAUACGAGACAGCAAAAGAGACACUGACGUAUAGAACAGUCUUAUGGACUUUGUGGGA
Long non-coding RNA from Bos taurus (domestic cattle), 4743 nucleotides. The record is from Ensembl. NCBI's taxonomy places the organism in Eukaryota, Metazoa, Chordata, Mammalia, Artiodactyla, Bovidae.